UACGUAGGGGGCUAGCGUUGUCCGGAUUUAUUGGGCGUAAAGAGCGUGUAGGCGGCCAGGUAGGUCUGGUGUGAAAACUCGAGGCUUAACCUCGAGAUGUCAUCGGAAACCAUCUGGCUAGAGUCCGGAAGAGGAGAGUGGAAUUCCUGGUGUAGCGGUGAAAUGCGCAGAUAUCAGGAAGAACACCGGUGGCGAAGGCGGCCCUCUGGACGGUGACUGACGCUGAGACGCGAAAGCGUGGGGAGCAAACAGG
This 253-nucleotide ribosomal RNA is filed under the name uncultured bacterium. RNAcentral describes it as "partial 16S ribosomal RNA". It matches the Rfam family "Bacterial small subunit ribosomal RNA", at positions 524 to 776 of the family's 1533-position model. The record is from RNAcentral.